CAAAACUCAAGGAUUAUGUGAUGUUGCUAGAAGGAUUUCUACAUCAGAAGGCAACAGCAGUAACAGGUAAUUAGCAAGAACUGGAAGGACGGCAUAUUUUCUACACUGGGUGACAAUAUUGAGUUCAAUUGAGUGAAAGAAACAACCACAUGACAGGAAACAUAGCUAACAACAUCUCUUGAGCUUUCUGCCUCGCAGCUUCAGCCCCAAGAUAGACACCAAGCUGACUCUCUUUCAGCUUCAAAUCAAAUAUCCCAAGGAAGAGACGCAUCAAUCCAGCUUGGAACAGAUACCAUCUUUGCACAGGUCAACUCUGGAUCAUGUAAGAAAGAGAAGGAAAAACAGGAAGAAAUUCCAGAAGACGAUUAUUGGACCCUAUUCUUGGAUAAGAUGCCUUCAAGUCUCGCCCACCAGCAAAGCUGCAAUAGGAGUUUUGAUUCUUUUGUGAAGGAGAAACCUUCUUUUGCAAGUUUCACGGGAAGAGAUUUAUUUGUUUGCUUUUUGUGUCUUGUUAUUUGCCAUUAACUUGAUCAAUUCAAUUCUCUAAUGGACUUUGUACUCUAAAAACACAUUUCUUGUUCAGGACUUGGGCGAAAAAACACCCUCCACGCACAGGUAUUUUCAAUUUUUUAAAAUCUAUCCUUUAGGUGAGUCUGUUGAAAAUUACUAUGAUAAUGUCUGCAGGUGGUCAGGGAUGAUAGACUCAGACGUAAGGCUUUGUCGCUGGCGAGAUCUGUCCGCAUUGCAGGAAGGAAAGAGCAAGAGCUUACCAACCAGAAGCUGGGCAGCCUCCACUCUCCAGUUCCUCAACAUAUCAAAACUACAGACUUUCCUGUAUUCAUAAAGGCUACUAAGGUCCCUGCUAGAUUAGCCUUGAGGCCAAUGAAGCAGGAGGGACCUCGUGACAGUAGGUGGGCAAGGAGACCUCUGAACACUCCUCUUGUAGGAGACACCAGACCUCAUGGUCCUAAGUUAGCAACCUUAAAAAGGACUAUUUCAAGAGGGCCUCAUGACACACAUUUGAAA
RNAcentral lists this long non-coding RNA (1026 nucleotides) under Equus caballus (horse). RNAcentral describes it as "lncRNA (ENSECAG00000043265.2)". Lineage: Eukaryota; Metazoa; Chordata; Mammalia; Perissodactyla; Equidae. The record is from RNAcentral.